Molecule: long non-coding RNA, 1379 nt
Filed under: Ictidomys tridecemlineatus (thirteen-lined ground squirrel)
Lineage: Eukaryota; Metazoa; Chordata; Mammalia; Rodentia; Sciuridae
Description: lncRNA (ENSSTOG00000034358.1)
Source: RNAcentral
UGAGGGCCCACCCCUGCAACUGGCUUGGGGCCAGCCCAGAGGAAGCCCCAGAGCGCAAGCGUAGACCAGCCCAGGGACAUUCCCAACUAACAAGAAAACCCAGCUGGGAGCACAUUCUUAGAAGAGCCUCCAUGAUGCGCCAGGGCCCAGCCUCCAGGAAAGAAGUGGGAGCCACUCCAAAGGACACUCCCCAGCUCUGUCCUGCAAGGACUUCCUCCCUGUCCCACACUGGGCUGCCUGAUCCAGGAACAGCAUGGGGAGUGGACGCAAGAGAUACUGAAAAGUCAGUUACCCUGAAGGAACCCUGCUCAUCUUGGCGCAGCACAACCUUUCGUUCAGACUAAACUUCCAAAUUUGGGCCAUCUCAGAGAGAGGAAAGGGGGCACAUGGAUGCUCAGGAAAGGAGGACUCAGAGACUAUUCCCUGCUUGGCAGGAGGAGAAGUCUAUAGCCACAGAAGGCAGAAGAGGGUGUGCAAAGAAAGCUGCGGCCUUUCCGGGAAAGACCUGCAGCACCCCUUCUUCACACAGCACGGGAAAGAGAGGAGUACUGAGCUCCAGUUCCUGGGAGGUAAUUGUUGAGAAAGAAACACUCCAGGAAGCAAAGGACCUUGGACAAGUUUUCAAACUCCAGGUUCCAGUGAGGGUAGAGUUUUAUUUCAGAGGCUUCCUAGCAUCGCAUUGGCUCUCUGCUCUGGAUUCUGUUUGGAGUGGCCCAGCACUGCGCUGCAUAGUCCUCCCCUAUGUCCAGACCAUUAAAAUCUUCCAAAGGUAAAUUUUAUGGUAUAUCAAUUAUAUCUCAAUAAAGCUGUUGAAAAAUAAAAGCUUCCAAGGAAGCCAGGAUCUCAACACCACCCUGACCUGCCCCAGGCCUGCAUGCCUUUUUCCACUGUCCCUUCUCUGCUAGGAUCUUUCCAUCUAGGCCACCACAUGUAGUGUGGUAAGUGCUUAAACUUUAGAGUGUGAGGAAUCAGGGGAACAAAUACUGUUGAGGGCAUCACAAAAUGCCAGGUUUCAUAUUGUGUUCCUACUGUCAAUUCCCUUUGCAGAAUAAAGGUCCUACCUCCAGGACGUCAUUGCCUACGGUUAUAACCGAAGAAAGAGAAAGUUGUAAAAAUAAUAAGGAACCAGGACUGAGGUUGGGUCUUGUCUAACUAAAAUAAACCUAUUGCAUGAUCUUAGGAAAGUUGCCGCUAAACCUUCUCUGAGCUUCACUUUUUUUUUUGGCUCCCAAUAGAUGUGCCAUGUUGGUUGCAUGAACAAGGAAAGAGUGCCCAAGUUCAAGGGGCCUGAAAGGAUCAACUGGACAAAAGAGUGUUUUACAACUGCAGCAUGCUAUGUAAGCAUAAGGGCUUAUACCUGUUAUUCUUAACUAUUUUAC